RNAcentral lists this transfer RNA (65 nucleotides) under Curtobacterium sp. MR_MD2014. RNAcentral's name for it is "tRNA-Ser". Lineage: Bacteria; Bacillati; Actinomycetota; Actinomycetes; Micrococcales; Microbacteriaceae. The record is from RNAcentral.
GGACGUUUGCGCGGUCCGCCACGUUUACACCGUGGAUGUCGUCGGUUCGAUCCCGGCAGGGCCCA